Molecule: long non-coding RNA, 854 nt
Filed under: Brassica napus (rape)
Lineage: Eukaryota; Viridiplantae; Streptophyta; Magnoliopsida; Brassicales; Brassicaceae
Description: long non-coding RNA (BNAP_LNC000889)
Source: RNAcentral
UGAGGUUGUAAAGAGUUAGGAGAAAUAGCUAGAGCUAAAGAUUUAUCAGUCAAGAGAUUCAAAACUACAAUUCAAGGAUGCUAAUGGUUUAUAGAUUAAUUCUAGAACUCGAUUUUAAUAAGUAAGCAAUCCAUCUUUCGCAUGCAAUUGCUAAUCGGAUGUCUAAGUCCAGUCUCAGCUGUCGCUUGUUGACUUGGAGCAAGUGUCGAUCGAUGCUAUGGCCUGAGCGUCGAUCGGUACUUUCUUAGACAAGCAUUAAUGACCUAAUCGAUUUACUUCAACUAGAUUCCUAGACCAACUCUCGUAUGCACCUAGGUAUCUAAUCCAGCAGAGUUCGGGUUCCGUUAAUUGAUUGCACUUUCGUGCCUCACAACUAUCCUAUGAUUCUAGGUUCAAACAAUUAGUCACACUGUCGUGCUAUUCUAACGUUUCCAGAUCCUUGUAUUACAAAUCACCCUGGUGUAGAGAUCUAUAGAUAAUCUAGCAAUCCUAAUUGAUUAUCAGUUUGCCAUUAAGCUCAUGAAAUCCCUAAACCUAACAAGAUGAAUUACUCAAACAUGCAAGCAAUAACACAAAUCAUAGUCUGAAUAAUAUAAUAAAUAAGAAAUCAGUGAUAAAACCAAUGGAGUUCCAAUCAAUCUCUGAAGGAGAAUUUAUCUUCUCUCCAAACCUAAGAGAAAACAAUAGAAUAGGAUAAUAGAAAGCAUGUAGCCCUCAACAAUGGCUUAGAAAUACAUAAAUAGGGUUUCUGAUCGUCCAUGAGUAUUUUGGUAACUUGGUGUGGCUUAUGUGCUUCAAACGGUCUUGAAAUAUGCUUGGCCCACGUUCUGGCAUCAAUAUUGUUCGAUGUCAAG